Molecule: long non-coding RNA, 479 nt
Filed under: Cervus hanglu yarkandensis (Yarkand deer)
Lineage: Eukaryota; Metazoa; Chordata; Mammalia; Artiodactyla; Cervidae
Description: lncRNA (ENSCHYG00000010604.1)
Source: RNAcentral
AUGAGUGGGCCACAACAGUGGGCCUCUUCACCUCCUGGCUUCUGGGUAGGUUUGGCUAAGGAGCGUCGUGGCUGGAGAUCUGAAGAUGGUCAGAGAUGGUCUCGGCUCUCCCACAAUGAGCUACCUCAAUACUCAAAGAUGAUUAAUCACAUCCUGGAUGGGAGAGAGAACCACACAGACGCGUGGAGGUUUCCCUCAGACUAGGACUCCGAGUGCUGCACCAUUGCCUUGCUCCCUGACCUAACACUGGAUGAACAGACGCACCAGUAUCCACCGUGGUGGACAGAAGAAUUCCCUGAGACUCUCUGACCAUUAAACCUCAAUCCCUGUUAAGAAGCCUUCUGUUGCCUUCCUUGUGAAUUCAACUAGUACUUACUGAGCACCUCCAAUGUGUGAAUCACUGUGCUGUGUGAGUGCUGCAGGAAUCACAUUCCCAAGAAGGAGCAAUGAGAUGAGGACAAAAACAGCCAUUGUUCAAG